RNAcentral lists this ribosomal RNA (504 nucleotides) under Diaporthe columnaris. Its description in RNAcentral is "eukaryotic LSU rRNA". The stretch from base 141 to 294 matches the Rfam family "5.8S ribosomal RNA". Lineage: Eukaryota; Fungi; Ascomycota; Sordariomycetes; Diaporthales; Diaporthaceae. The record is from RNAcentral.
UUUGUGAACUUAUACCUUACUGUUGCCUCGGCGCAGGCCGGCCUCACUGAGGCCCCUCGGAAACGAGGAGCAGCCCGCCGGCGGCCAACCAAACUCUUGUUUCUUAGUGAAUCUCUGAGUAAAAAACAUAAAUGAAUCAAAACUUUCAACAACGGAUCUCUUGGUUCUGGCAUCGAUGAAGAACGCAGCGAAAUGCGAUAAGUAAUGUGAAUUGCAGAAUUCAGUGAAUCAUCGAAUCUUUGAACGCACAUUGCGCCCUCUGGUAUUCCGGAGGGCAUGCCUGUUCGAGCGUCAUUUCAACCCUCAAGCACUGCUUGGUGUUGGGGCACCGCCUGUGAAAGGGCGGGCCCUGAAAUCUAGUGGCGAGCUCGCCAGGACCCCGAGCGUAGUAAUUAUAUUUCGUUCUGGAAGGCCCUGGCGGUGCCCUGCCGUUAAACCCCCAACUUCUGAAAAUUUGACCUCGGAUCAGGUAGGAAUACCCGCUGAACUUAAGCAUAUCAAUAA